AUAUUGCACAAUGGGGGAAACCCUGAUGCAGCGACGCCGCGUGAAGGAAGAAGUAUCUCGGUNUGUAAACUUCUAUCAGCAGGGANNCANNNGNCGGUACCUGACUAAGAAGCCCCGGCUAACUACGUGCNNNCAGCCGCGGUAAUACGUAGGGGGCAAGCGUUAUCCGGAUUUACUGGGUGUAAAGGGAGCGUAGACGGAAGAGCAAGUCUGAUGUGAAAGGCUGGGGCUUAACCCCAGGACUGCAUUGGAAACUGUUGUUCUAGAGUGCCGGAGAGGUAAGCGGAAUUCCUAGUGUAGCGGUGAAAUGCGUAGAUAUUAGGAGGAACACCAGUGGCGAAGGCGGCUUACUGGACGGUAACUGACGUUGAGGCUCGAAAGCGUGGGGAGCAAACA
RNAcentral lists this ribosomal RNA (396 nucleotides) under uncultured bacterium. RNAcentral describes it as "partial 16S ribosomal RNA". It matches the Rfam family "Bacterial small subunit ribosomal RNA", at positions 361 to 774 of the family's 1533-position model. The record is from RNAcentral.